RNAcentral lists this ribosomal RNA (253 nucleotides) under uncultured bacterium. RNAcentral describes it as "partial 16S ribosomal RNA". It matches the Rfam family "Bacterial small subunit ribosomal RNA", at positions 524 to 776 of the family's 1533-position model. The record is from RNAcentral.
GCCGGAGGGUGCAAUCGUUGUUCGGAAUUACUGGGCGUAAAGCGCGUGUAGGCGGCUUGCUAAGUCUGAUGUGAAAGCCCGGGGCUCACCCCCGGAAGUGCAUUGGAAACUGGCGAGCUCGAGUCCCGGAGAGGAGGGUGGAAUUCCUGGUGUAGCGGUGAAAUGCGUAGAUAUCAGGAGGAACACCGGUGGCGAAGGCGGCCCUCUGGACGGUGACUGACGCUGAGACGCGAAAGCGUGGGGAGCAAACAGG